Molecule: unclassified non-coding RNA, 73 nt
Filed under: Pseudomonas prosekii
Lineage: Bacteria; Pseudomonadati; Pseudomonadota; Gammaproteobacteria; Pseudomonadales; Pseudomonadaceae
Source: RNAcentral
AGCGAAGCUUGCUCGCGAAGGUGUGUCAGUCGACAUCACAGUGACUGACACACCUUCGCGAGCAAGCUUCACU